Molecule: non-coding RNA, 82 nt
Organism: Desarmillaria tabescens
Lineage: Eukaryota; Fungi; Basidiomycota; Agaricomycetes; Agaricales; Physalacriaceae
Source: the annotation of a RefSeq genome assembly
GGUACUAUAGCCAAGUGGUUAAGCUGAUAGAUUAGAAGACUAUUACUCUCUGAGUGCGUAGGUUAAAGUCCUACUGAUGUCG